UCGCCUCUUGAUAAUAAGUACGAGAGGUUGGGCCUGCCCGGUGAAUAACUAUUUAAACGGCCGCAGUGGAAUAACUGUGCUAAGGUAGCGUAAUAAAUUGUCUCUUAAUUGGAGAAGGGUAUGAAUGGUUUGAACGUGGUAGUUUCUGUCUCAAUAAUAGUAUUGCGAAAUUUUCAUUUAAGUUAAAAGUCUUAAAUACAGAUAAAAGACGAGAAGACCCUGUCGAGCUUAAUAAAAUUAUGUAAAGAUUUCAUAUAAUAAAUUUAACUGGGGCAGUUGAGAACCAAAAAAUAGUUCUUUGUUAUUUGAAGAUCCGGUUUUACCGAUCAUAAGAAAAAACGACCGCAGGGAUAACAGCGUUAUCCUUUCUAAGAGAACUAAUUGAAGAAAGGGUUUGCGACCUCGAUGUUGGAUUAAAGUUUCUUUUUGGUGCAGCAGCUAAAAUAGUAGACUGUUCGUCCUUAAAACUUU
RNAcentral lists this ribosomal RNA (471 nucleotides) under Ensis siliqua. RNAcentral's name for it is "partial 16S ribosomal RNA". It matches the Rfam family "Bacterial large subunit ribosomal RNA", at positions 1823 to 2597 of the family's 2925-position model. Lineage: Eukaryota; Metazoa; Mollusca; Bivalvia; Adapedonta; Pharidae. The record is from RNAcentral.